CCAGCUACACACGACCGUACCGCAAACCGACACUGGUGCGCGAGAUGAGUAUUCUAAGGCGCUUGAGAGAACUCAGGAGAAGGAACUCGGCAAAUUGACACCGUAACUUCGGAAGAAGGUGUGCCUUUAGUAGGUGAACCAUUUACUUGGCGAGCCCAAUGAGGUUGCAAAAAAUCGGUGGCUGCGACUGUUUAUUAAAAACACAGCACUCUGCAAACACGAAAGUGGACGUAUAGGGUGUGACGCCUGCCCGGUGCUGGAAGAUUAAAUGAUGGGGUGCAAGCUCUUGAUUGAAGUCCCAGUAAACGGCGGCCGUAACUAUAACGGUCCUAAGGUAGCGAAAUUCCUUGUCGGGUAAGUUCCGACCUGCACGAAUGGCGUAACGAUGGCCACACUGUCUCCUCCUGAGACUCAGCGAAGUUGAAAUGUUUGUGAUGAUGCAAUCUCCCCGCGGAAAGACGGAAAGACCCCAUGAACCUUUACUGUAGCUUUGUAUUGGACUUUGAACAGAUCUGUGUAGGAUAGGUGGGAGGCUUUGAAGCGGUGCCGCUAGGUAUCGUGGAGCCAACGUUGAAAUACCACCCUGGUGUGUUUGAGGUUCUAACCUUGGUCCACUAUCUGGAUUGGGGACAGUGCAUGGUAGGCAGUUUGACUGGGGCGGUCUCCUCCCAAAGCGUAACGGAGGAGUUCGAAGGUACGCUAGUUACGGUCGGACAUCGUGACGAUAGUGCAAUGGCAUAAGCGUGCUUAACUGCGAGACUGACAAGUCGAGCAGAUGCGAAAGCAGGACAUAGUGAUCCGGUGGUUCUGUAUGGAAGGGCCAUCGCUCAACGGAUAAAAGGUACUCUGGGGAUAACAGGCUGAUACCGCCCAAGAGUUCAUAUCGACGGCGGUGUUUGGCACCUUGAUGUCGGCUCAUCUCAUCCUGGGGCUGUAGCCGGUCCCAAGGGUAUGGCUGUUCGCCAUUUAAAGAGGUACGUGAGCUGGGUUUAAAACGUCGUGAGACAGUUUGGUCCCUAUCUUCCGUGGGCGCUGCAGAUUUGAGGAAGCCUGCUCCUAGUACGAGAGGACCGGAGUGGACACACCUCUGGUGUAUCGGUUGUCACGCCAGUGGCAUUGCCGAGUAGCUAAGUGUGGAAGAGAUAACCGCUGAAAGCAUCUAAGCGGGAAACUCGUUUCAAGAUGAGAUCUGCCGGGGCCUUGAGCCCCCUAAAGAGUCGUUCAAGACCAGGACGUUGAUAGGUCAGGUGUGGAAGCGCAGUAAUGCGUUAAGCUAACUGAUACUAAUUGCUCGUGCGGCUUGACC
This 1306-nucleotide ribosomal RNA is filed under the name metagenome. Its description in RNAcentral is "bacterial LSU rRNA". It matches the Rfam family "Bacterial large subunit ribosomal RNA", at positions 1628 to 2925 of the family's 2925-position model. The record is from RNAcentral.